Molecule: transfer RNA, 68 nt
Filed under: Clonorchis sinensis
Lineage: Eukaryota; Metazoa; Platyhelminthes; Trematoda; Opisthorchiida; Opisthorchiidae
Description: tRNA-Lys
Source: RNAcentral
UUGUGGGUAGCUUAAUUAUUUGUAAAGCUCUGGAUUCUUACUCUGGUGAUGUCUUUUGACCCCAUGAG